Molecule: long non-coding RNA, 98 nt
Organism: Mustela erminea (ermine)
Lineage: Eukaryota; Metazoa; Chordata; Mammalia; Carnivora; Mustelidae
Exons: 3
Source: RefSeq, a predicted model, not a curated record
ACUCCCCCCUUUAUAAAGUCUUUAAAAAAGCAGAUUCAUGGGGUGUCUGGGUGGCUCAGUUGGCUAAGUCUCUGCCUUUGGCUCAGGUCAUGAUACCA